This 323-nucleotide ribosomal RNA is filed under the name uncultured bacterium. RNAcentral's name for it is "bacterial SSU rRNA". It matches the Rfam family "Bacterial small subunit ribosomal RNA", at positions 1190 to 1510 of the family's 1533-position model. The record is from RNAcentral.
UCAUCAUGCCCUUUAUGACUUGGGCUACACACGUGCUACAAUGGCAGGUACAGAGGGAAGCGAGACUGCGAAGUUAAGCAAAACUCAAAAAGCCUGUCCCAGUUCUGGAUUGCACUCUGCAACUCGAGUGCAUGAAGUUGGAGUUGCUAGUAAUCGCAGAUCAGAAUGCUGCGGUGAAUGCGUUCCCGGGUCUUGUACACACCGCCCGUCACACCAUGGAAGUUGGCAAUACCCGAAGCCUGUGAGCGAACCUUUUAGGGCGCCGAGUCUGAAGGUAGGGUCAGUAACUGGGGUGAAGUCGUAACAAGGUAGCCGUAUCGGAA